UGGGGCUGUAGCUCAGCUGGAGAGCACCUGCUUUCAAGCAGGGGUCAGCGGUUCCGAUCCGCUCAGCUCACCA
Molecule: transfer RNA, 73 nt
Filed under: Rhizobium sp. Glm-17
Lineage: Bacteria; Pseudomonadati; Pseudomonadota; Alphaproteobacteria; Hyphomicrobiales; Rhizobiaceae
Description: tRNA-Ala
Rfam family: tRNA
About the family: Transfer RNA (tRNA) molecules are approximately 80 nucleotides in length. Their secondary structure includes four short double-helical elements and three loops (D, anti-codon, and T loops).
Source: RNAcentral